UUGGAGGGCAAGUCUGGUGCCAGCAGCCGCGGUAAUUCCAGCUCCAGUAGCGUAUAUUAAAGUUGUUGCAGUUAAAAAGCUCGUAGUUGAAUUUCGGGAUUAGUACGUCGGUCGUGCCUUAGGUACGUACUGGUGUUACUGGUUCCUACCUUCUGACGAACCAUCAUGUCAUUAAUUUGGUGUGGUGGGGAAUCAGGACUGUUACUUUGAAAAAAUUAGAGUGUUUAAAGCAGGCUCGCGCUUGAAUACAUUAGCAUGGAAUAAUGAAAUAGGACGUUGAUCCUAUUUUGUUGGUUUCUAGGAUUGACGUAAUGAUUAAUAGGGAUAGUUGGGGGCAUUAGUAUACAAUUGUCAGAGGUGAAAUUCUUGGAUUUAUUGAAGACUAACUACUGCGAAAGCAUUUGCCAAGGAUGUUUUCAUUAAUCAAGAACGAAAGUUAGGGGAUCGAAGACGAUCAGAUACCGUCGUAGUCUUAACCAUAAACUAUGCCGACUAGGGAUCGGAUGAUGUUAUUUUUAAUGACUCAUUCGGCGCCUUACGGGAAAC
RNAcentral lists this ribosomal RNA (546 nucleotides) under uncultured Glomus. RNAcentral describes it as "SSU rRNA". It matches the Rfam family "Eukaryotic small subunit ribosomal RNA", at positions 548 to 1098 of the family's 1831-position model. Lineage: Eukaryota; Fungi; Glomeromycota; Glomeromycetes; Glomerales; Glomeraceae. The record is from RNAcentral.